AGACCACCCAGCCCAUCAUCCAGACUUCUCUACGGGGGAUAGAUUUAGAUGAGAUCCAGUCCUGUAAUGCUGCUGUGCUGCUGCCCAAGGGGGGAGCCACUAUAUGCAGGAGAUCCCAGCUCUGCAACUUCAAGUCACUGAAACACCUGAACUACUCUCAUCAACAGAUGCACUUAUACGUAACUUGGAUGACAUCUCCUCUCCUCCACAUCAUCAUUAACUCUGUGCAGGCUCAUCUCUCAUGACUUCAUCUUGAACGAUAUUCUGCUCAUAGCCUAGAAAGUUCUAUGUGCCUCCUCACUUCCAGCGGUUGAGAAUACGGUCUUCUGUGCAUGAGAUAGUACAGACGUACCCCACCCCACUCAUUCCU
This 370-nucleotide long non-coding RNA is filed under the name Vulpes vulpes (red fox). Its description in RNAcentral is "lncRNA (ENSVVUG00000030035.1)". The record is from RNAcentral. Lineage: Eukaryota; Metazoa; Chordata; Mammalia; Carnivora; Canidae.